Molecule: long non-coding RNA, 1885 nt
Filed under: Setaria italica (foxtail millet)
Lineage: Eukaryota; Viridiplantae; Streptophyta; Magnoliopsida; Poales; Poaceae
Description: long non-coding RNA (SITA_LNC002660)
Source: RNAcentral
ACCAGGGACAGAAGUGGCCCGACCACCAUGCUGCCCACAAGCUCGGCCAUUGGAGCAGUCAGAGCUCACGAGAACGCACGCUGAGAAAUGAGAACACACUUUGGAGUGGAGAAGAGGAUGGUUUGCGGAAGCGCUUUGGAGGUAAAUGGAGACCAACGCCAAGCACUGACCUUCUUGGGCGCCUAGGCUGACAGAGCAGCAGUAGCAGAGGCGGGGCAGUAGCGGUCGCAGCGGAGGGGCCGGCGGCGUACGGGAAGAGAAGAUAGAGAAGAGGAUAUGUUUCUGCAAGACUUGCAAUGGCAGAAGGAGAAGACUAGCAUGGAAGACUUGUGCUCAGCUCACAACAGGAGCCAUAAAAUAAGCAAAGGAUCAGAAGAUGAUAGACAAGUCCAAGCUAUUUUUAUAAGCUGAUGAUGACAGGUGUGGAUGCUGUUGGCUGUGCUUGUGAAGCUGCAGUGUUUCUGUUCACAUCUUAAGGUAAUACUCCUACUUAAUAGUCACAUCCUGGUUUAGUUAUGCUAAUGAUGGAUUGAUCACUGAACAAACGUGUUUACCGGUGCACAGUGUUCAGGUAGCCAUGUGUGUUCAAAGACCAUAUAAGGUCAUGUUUAGUUUUCCUCAAAAUCCCAAAUUUGACACUAUGCAAAGAAGAUUCCUCAUCACAUUAAACUUGCGAUACAUGCAUGGAGUACUAAAUGUAGAUGAAAUCAAAAACUAAUUGCACAGUUUUGUUGUACUUUGCGAGACGAAUCUUUUGAGCCUAAUUAGUCAAUAUUUGGACAAUAAUUCACAAAUACAAACGAAAUGCUACAGUUGCGCAUUUAUGACAAACUCCCAACUUUGACACUCCCAAAUUUGGAACUAAACAAGGCCUAAAUGUUCUGCAUUCUGGAGCAGCCUUUUGCAUUUCCUCGGGUUGCGCUCACAGGGAAAAAGCGAUACCAUUUAUCUAUUGGUCGAGUCACAGUCUUCCAUUUCUUCCACCCAACUUUGGCACUAUGCAAAAAGAAAAUUCUCCAUCACAUCAAAUUUGCGGUACAUGCAUGGAGUACUAAAUGUAGACGAAAUUAAAAACUAAUUGCACAGUUUUGUUGUACUUUGCGAGACGAAUCUUUUGAGCCUAAUUAGUCAAUAUUUAGACAAUAAUUCACAAAUACAAACGAAACACUACAGUGUCGCAUUUAUGGCAGAAUGCUAAUUUUGCCACUCCCAAAUUAGCAAGUAAACAAGGCCCGAUGACUUGGACAAUAAUGAUGUGUACGGUGUACCUACCACUUUUAUUUCGUCGACAAGGUCUCUUGAAUUUAUUUUAUAAAAUUAUUAAUGUGUUAAAAUUUAACUAGUGCCUCACCUUUUCAAAAUGGCACGAUUUGCUCGGUUCCACGAGCUAAAAUUUAGAUAUCCAAUGUUUAGAUACUAAUUAGGAGUAUUAAACAUUUAGACUAAUUACAGAACCAAUUGCAGUUAAUUCACGAGACGAAUCUAUUAAACCUAAUUAAUUCAUGAUUCACGAGACGAAUCUAUUAAACCUAAUUAAUUCAUGAUUACCAGGUUGCUAAUCCGAAGCAUGACAGUAAGAUCAUUGAUAUAUCCGAACCUGAGAACGCACGCUGAGAAAUGAGAACACAGGGAAACACUUUGGAGUGGAGAAGAGGAGUCUGCGGAAGCGCUUUGGAGACCAACGCCAAGCACUGACCUUCUUGGGGCGCUUAAUUUAUUGGUUGUAUCGAAAGCCGUGAUGAUAUUAUUUUGUAUUACGGCUUUCCAGGUGAACUAUUAUAUACAAGUCGCCUUAAAGCAUCAUUACGGCUUUAGAUAGUAAUAUCAAUAAUAUCAUCACGGCUUUCCAUGUGCCAUCACGAGGGUACAGCCUGGUUCACGCCCG